CAAGAAGCUGGGAGGGAGCAGGGCCAGGAAAGCUGACUGGAACUGGCCAAAGGGUGGAACAGAGAAGAGGCCCUGUGCAGGCAUGUGCUUCAGCUGCUGCCAGGGCACCCCGCUGCCCAGCAGCACGUCCCGGGCCCACUGCAGGUUCUGUGGAGACAACAGCAGGGUUCCAAAGUGGCAUUUGAGCUGCAGCUUUUGUACAGAAAGCUUCACAACAGAGGACAUGAAAGAAAGAGGAAGAUGUUUGGUUCAUAGAGACAAAUGAGAAUGUUGCACUCUUGUGUUCUAUGGACUGGAAAUACAGUCUGUGAGUCAUGAAUGUGAUUAAAUCAUGUCC
This is a long non-coding RNA of Oenanthe melanoleuca, 337 nucleotides long. RefSeq lists it as uncharacterized. The transcript is spliced from 3 exons. The record is from RefSeq and is a predicted model, not a curated record. Lineage: Eukaryota; Metazoa; Chordata; Aves; Passeriformes; Muscicapidae.